Molecule: ribosomal RNA, 70 nt
Filed under: Oleiphilus sp. HI0125
Lineage: Bacteria; Pseudomonadati; Pseudomonadota; Gammaproteobacteria; Oceanospirillales; Oleiphilaceae
Source: RNAcentral
CCUGACGACCAUAGAGAACUGGAACCACCUGAUCCCAUCCCGAACUCAGAAGUGAAACGGUUCAUCGCCG